Molecule: long non-coding RNA, 652 nt
Organism: Medicago truncatula (barrel medic)
Lineage: Eukaryota; Viridiplantae; Streptophyta; Magnoliopsida; Fabales; Fabaceae
Exons: 2
Source: RefSeq, a predicted model, not a curated record
GAGGUUUAAUGUUCUGUCCAAAUAAAACCAUUCCAAAAAACUAUGAAGGAGGUCCAAUUUUGAUAACCCUGUUGUAUAUAAAUUGGACCUUGUAUUGAGACAUAUUGCAUGUUUUAGUUGUAGGUCUAUAUCAAAAUUCAUCCAUUUUACAAAACAUAAAGAAAGUUGAUAGAUCCAUCAUCCAUGGAUUUGAGAAGGUCUUCCUCAUCAUCUUCACUAUCUUAUACAUCAGAUUUGACAGCUGAUAUUUCACUUUUUCUACCAACUGAAGAAAAUACUCCUAAGGAAACAAAUGGCCCAAUAAUAAAUAAGGUCAUGAGUCUCAUAGGCUGCCCAAGAUGCUUCUUGUAUGUUAUCUCAUCAGAAGAGAAUCCCAAGUGCCCUAAGUGCAACACUACCUCGUUUCUACAAAUUCUCCCUUGUCUGGAAAAGUCCAAUAAUAAUUGAGGUAUGAAGAGACAGAAGAGUUGUGAAGAAUACUGCAAGAAUAAACUUUUCUAAUUUAUGGUUAUGUAAAAAUAAAGAGGCUAUCUUUAUUACUGUCCUUUUAUUUUCUGCUAGAUAUAUGUAGAAAUCAGUGCCUCAAGACGUUAUGGUUAAGGAAGAAAAGAAAAAAAAAGUUGAAAAUAAUAUUUUUUAGACUUUUGAAGAA